GGUGAACGCUGGCGGUAGGCCUAACACAUGCAAGUCGAACGGCAGCACAGUAAGAGCUUGCUCUUACGGGUGGCGAGUGGCGGACGGGUGAGGAAUACAUCGGAAUCUACUUUUUCGUGGGGGAUAACGUAGGGAAACUUACGCUAAUACCGCAUACGACCUACGGGUGAAAGCAGGGGAUCUUCGGACCUUGCGCGAUUGAAUGAGCCGAUGUCGGAUUAGCUAGUUGGCGGGGUAAAGGCCCACCAAGGCGACGAUCCGUAGCUGGUCUGAGAGGAUGAUCAGCCACACUGGAACUGAGACACGGUCCAGACUCCUACGGGAGGCAGCAGUGGGGAAUAUUGGACAAUGGGCGCAAGCAUGAUCCAGCCAUACCGCGUGGGUGAAGAAGGCCUUCGGGUUGUAAAGCCCUUUUGUUGGGAAAGAAAAGAAGCAGGUUAAUACCCCGCUGUUCUGACGGUACCCAAAGAAUAAGCACCGGCUAACUUCGUG
RNAcentral lists this ribosomal RNA (492 nucleotides) under uncultured bacterium. Its description in RNAcentral is "partial 16S ribosomal RNA". It matches the Rfam family "Bacterial small subunit ribosomal RNA", at positions 28 to 507 of the family's 1533-position model. The record is from RNAcentral.